Molecule: ribosomal RNA, 399 nt
Filed under: uncultured bacterium
Lineage: Bacteria
Description: partial 16S ribosomal RNA
Rfam family: Bacterial small subunit ribosomal RNA
Source: RNAcentral
AAUUUUGGACAAUGGGGGAAACCCUGAUCCAGCCAUCCCGCGUGUAUGAUGAAGGCCUUCGGGUUGUAAACUUCUUUUGUCAGGGAAGAUAAUGACGGUACCUGACGAAUAAGCCACGGCUAACUACGUGCCAGCAGCCGCGGUAAUACGUAGGUGGCGAGCGUUGUCCGGAUUUACUGGGUGUAAAGGGCGUGUAGGCGGGACUGCAAGUCAGAUGUGAAAUGCCGAGGCUUAACCUCGGAGCUGCAUUUGAAACUGUAGUUCUUGAGUAUCGGAGAGGCAGGCGGAAUUCCUAGUGUAGCGGUGAAAUGCGUAGAUAUUAGGAGGAACACCAGUGGCGAAGGCGGCCUGCUGGACGACAACUGACGCUGAGGCGCGAAAGCGUGGGGAGCAAACAGG